RNAcentral lists this ribosomal RNA (334 nucleotides) under uncultured Pelotomaculum sp. RNAcentral describes it as "bacterial SSU rRNA". It matches the Rfam family "Bacterial small subunit ribosomal RNA", at positions 1051 to 1382 of the family's 1533-position model. Lineage: Bacteria; Bacillati; Bacillota; Clostridia; Eubacteriales; Desulfotomaculaceae. The record is from RNAcentral.
GUCGUCAGCUCGUGUCGUGAGAUGUUGGGUUAAGUCCCGCAACGAGCGCAAACCCCUACGUUUAGUUGCUAACAGGUGAAGCUGAGCACUCUAGACGAACUGCCGUUGACAAAACGGAGGAAGGUCGGGGAUGACGUCAAAUCAUCAUGCCCCUUAUGUUCUGGGCUACACACGUGCUACAAUGGCCGGUACAGACGGAGGCGAAGCCGCGAGGCGGAGCAAAUCCGAAAAAGCCGGUCUCAGUUCGGAUUGCAGGCUGCAAUUCGCCUGCAUGAAGUCGGAAUCGCUAGUAAUCGCAGGUCAGCAUACUGCGGUGAAUACGUUCCCGGGGCUU